This 253-nucleotide ribosomal RNA is filed under the name uncultured bacterium. RNAcentral's name for it is "partial 16S ribosomal RNA". It matches the Rfam family "Bacterial small subunit ribosomal RNA", at positions 524 to 776 of the family's 1533-position model. The record is from RNAcentral.
UACGUAGGGGGCUAGCGUUGUCCGGAUUUAUUGGGCGUAAAGAGCGUGUAGGCGGCCAUGUAGGUCCGGUGUGAAAACUCGAGGCUUAACCUCGAGAUGUCAUCGGAAACCAUUUGGCUAGAGUCCGGAAGAGGAGAGUGGAAUUCCUGGUGUAGCGGUGAAAUGCGCAGAUAUCGGGAAGAACACCAGUGGCGAAGGCGGCUCACUGGCCCGGUACUGACGCUGAGGCGCGAAAGCGUGGGGAGCAAACAGG